This 480-nucleotide ribosomal RNA is filed under the name uncultured bacterium. RNAcentral describes it as "partial 16S ribosomal RNA". It matches the Rfam family "Bacterial small subunit ribosomal RNA", at positions 30 to 505 of the family's 1533-position model. The record is from RNAcentral.
AUUGAACGCUGGCGGCAUGCUUUACACAUGCAAGUCGAACGGUAACAGCACUUCGGUGGCUGACGAGUGGCGAACGGGUGAGUAAUACAUCGGAACGUGCCUAGUAGUGGGGGAUAACUACUCGAAAGAGUAGCUAAUACCGCAUGAGAUCUAAGGAUGAAAGCAGGGGACCUUCGGGCCUUGCGCUACUAGAGCGGCUGAUGGCAGAUUAGGUAGUUGGUGGGAUAAAAGCUUACCAAGCCGACGAUCUGUAGCUGGUCUGAGAGGACGACCAGCCACACUGGGACUGAGACACGGCCCAGACUCCUACGGGAGGCAGCAGUGGGGAAUUUUGGACAAUGGGCGCAAGCCUGAUCCAGCAAUGCCGCGUGCAGGAUGAAGGCCUUCGGGCUGUAAACUGCUUUUGUACGGAACGAAAAGCCCUCUUCUAAUACAGGAGGGUCAUGACGGUACCGUAAGAAUAAGCACCGGCUAACUACG